This 500-nucleotide ribosomal RNA is filed under the name uncultured bacterium. RNAcentral's name for it is "bacterial SSU rRNA". It matches the Rfam family "Bacterial small subunit ribosomal RNA", at positions 30 to 509 of the family's 1533-position model. The record is from RNAcentral.
AGCGAACGCUGGCGGCGUGGAUUAGGCAUGCAUGUCGAGCGAGAAACGGGGGCAACUCCGGAGUAAAGCGGCACACGGGUGAGGAACGCGUAGACAACUUGCCUCUAGGACCGGGAUAACGGCGGGAAACUGCCGCUAAUACCGGAUGGCCUCGGAGCCCGGCAUCGGGUGCCGAGUAAAGGUGGGGACCGCAAGGCCUGCCGCCCAGAGAGAGGUUUACGCCCUAUCAGCUAGUUGGUGAGGUAACGGCUCACCAAGGCGAUGACGGGUAGGCGAGCUGAGAGGCUGACCGCCCACAUUGGGACUGAGAACUGCCCAGACUCCUACGGGAGGCUGCAGUCGAGAAUCUUCCGCAAUGGACGCAAGUCUGACGGAGCGACGCCGCGUGCGGGAUGAAGGUCUUCGGAUUGUAAACCGCUGUCACAUGUUAUGAACGCGCAGGGACCAACACUCCCUGCGUUGACAAAGGCGCGGGAGGAAGACACGGCUAACUCUGUGCC